ACGCUAGCUACAGGCUUAACACAUGCAAGUCGAGGGGAAACGACAUCGAGAGCUUGCUUUUGAUGGGCGUCGACCGGCGCACGGGUGAGUAACGCGUAUCCAACCUGCCCACCACUUGGGGAUAACCUUGCGAAAGUAAGACUAAUACCCAAUGACAUCCCACGAAGACAUCUGAAUGGGAUUAAAGAUUUAUCGGUGAUGGAUGGGGAUGCGUCUGAUUAGCUUGUUGGCGGGGUAACGGCCCACCAAGGCAACGAUCAGUAGGGGUUCUGAGAGGAAGGUCCCCCACAUUGGAACUGAGACACGGUCCAAACUCCUACGGGAGGCAGCAGUGAGGAAUAUUGGUCAAUGGACGAGAGUCUGAACCAGCCAAGUAGCGUGCAGGAUGACGGCCCUAUGGGUUGUAAACUGCUUUUAUAAGGGAAUAAAGUGAGUCUCGUGAGACUUUUUGCAUGUACCUUAUGAAUAAGGACCGGCUAAUUCCGUGCCAGCAGCCGCGGUAAUACGGAAGGUCCGGGCGUUAUCCGGAUUUAUUGGGUUUAAAGGGAGCGUAGGCCGGAGAUUAAGCGUGUUGUGAAAUGUAGAUGCUCAACAUCUGCACUGCAGCGCGAACUGGUUUCCUUGAGUACGCACAAAGUGGGCGGAAUUCGUGGUGUAGCGGUGAAAUGCUUAGAUAUCACGAAGAACUCCGAUUGCGAAGGCAGCUCACUGGAGCGCAACUGACGCUGAAGCUCGAAAGUGCGGGUAUCGAACAGGAUUAGAUACCCUGGUAGUCCGCACGGUAAACGAUGGAUGCCCGCUGUUGGUCUGAAUAGGUCAGCGGCCAAGCGAAAGCAUUAAGCAUCCCACCUGGGGAGUACGCCGGCAACGGUGA
Molecule: ribosomal RNA, 874 nt
Filed under: uncultured bacterium
Lineage: Bacteria
Description: bacterial SSU rRNA
Rfam family: Bacterial small subunit ribosomal RNA
Source: RNAcentral